CAUUUUUAUUUUCAAUGCUAUAGAAACAAAUGAAGUAAUUAUUUGCAAAUUAUUUAAAAAAAAGUCACAUACAUUGCUUACCUUCUUAUUGUACGAGCCUGCUUUACGAUGGUACGAUCACGAAUGACAUGCGUCUUUCAAUUGCUUUUUUAUUACCCUUUUUGGGAUUUUCUUUUGGCACUAUUGUUUCUGCUUCGCACUCAAUCAAAUAAAUCAAGAAAUGAAUAGGAAUAGCCGAAUAUAUUGCGGCUUUGCUGAUAAGUAAGCAUGUUCAAUGAUAUUUGAACAUAUUUCCGGUGCAUUAAUCCAGAUUAAUUCAGGAGCUAGUGAAGAUAACUAAGAUUUCUAAGUCCCUUUCAAUACUAAUAGAGAGUAAAAAUUACAAUGAACUGUUUACGAGAGAUUCAAACUCGCAUAGCUGCCAUCUGUUACCAACCAAAUUGGUUCCUACUGUGUGCGUGUAUAUUAACGGUGCCGUCUAUUAAGGCUAUAACCUAACAUCAUAAUAUAAUUCACUGACAAUAUAUAAACCACAAUUUGUUAAACAAAUACAUUGCUAUUAAAACUGCUUCAAAAGAUUAAAUUGAUGAAUGAAUUGACAAAAGCGAUACUGGACACUAUUACCAAAGUGGCGUCUUCAGAAAUAAGGGAAAGAAGCGCCUGGAAAUUUGACCGCAAUGGCACCUUCGUACGUCAAAAAUAUGAAUGACAUCCGACUUUGGUGUAAAUAAAGAAGAUUUUCACAAAGUAUGUGAAAAGGUUAAGGAAAUCGGAAAGUCCAACAACAACAUGCGACUUUGAAUUCCACUUAAGAAAAGAGUGGCUAUUGCGUAGCAAGUUUAUUUGGCGUAGGACGCACCACAAUUGGGAAUAUAGUUGUGGAUUUUUGCAAAGCCGUGUGUACAAAUUUAUCGGAUUGCAUCAAUUCCUAUCCCCCAAGCACAUAAGAAGUAGAGCAAAAUGUUCAACCCUCGUUUUCCGCAAUGUUUUGGAGCAAUAGAUGGCUGCCACAUUGAGGUUCAGCCGAAAAAGGAAGAUGCGAUCGAGUAUUAAAAUUAAUGGGGUUCAGCUGGCAAUUUGCGACUAUAGAUGAAAAUUUACAUAUAUACAUGUUGGGUCAACUGUAAGAAAUAACGAUUCUUACAUUUUUGAAAGUACUUCCAUAAAGAAAUUUCAUAAAACCGCUGAUAUUUUUGCUCAGAGCAUCAAAAUGAUUGGACAUGUUAACGUCCCCGUAUUACAGAGGUUUACCGGUAGCUCCAAAAAACGUUAACGUUAUUAUACAUACAUGCUGUAUUUUGUACAAUUUUCUAAAAAUUUAAAUUGAUGAAAUUUCUCCUUAGUGGAUACAUGAUGCUGCAGAAAUAAUUACAGAAAUUCAACCACAUCACACUACAAGAGCUGGGGAAAAUGAUGUAACAGCAUCGGCUAUUAGAAAUGCAAUAGCUCUGAGUUUUCGUGAGCAUAGAUGUAUAGAGUAGCCGAAAACAAAUACUAGUACACGUAAUUACAAACAUCCAUUUUUGAAAGAGAUAAUUUUUUAUUUGAAUUAAUUUUUUGUUACAUUAUACUAUA
This 1575-nucleotide long non-coding RNA is filed under the name Bactrocera latifrons. Its description in RNAcentral is "uncharacterized LOC108977797". The record is from RNAcentral. Lineage: Eukaryota; Metazoa; Arthropoda; Insecta; Diptera; Tephritidae.